This 460-nucleotide ribosomal RNA is filed under the name uncultured bacterium. RNAcentral describes it as "partial 16S ribosomal RNA". It matches the Rfam family "Bacterial small subunit ribosomal RNA", at positions 338 to 795 of the family's 1533-position model. The record is from RNAcentral.
UCUACGGGGGGCAGCAGUGAGGAAUAUUGGUCAAUGGGCGCGAGCCUGAACCAGCCAAGUCGCGUGAGGGAUGAAGGUUCUAUGGAUCGUAAACCUCUUUUAUAAGGGAGUAAAGUGUGGGACGUGUCCUAUUUUGUAUGUACCUUAUGAAUAAGGGUCGGCUAACCCCGUGCCAGCAGCCGCGGUAAUACGGAGGAUCCGAGCGUUACCCGGAUUUAUGGGGUUUAAAGGGUGCGUAGGCGGCCUUGUAAGUCAGCGGUGAAAGUCUGUGGCUCAACCAUGGAAUGGCGUUUGAAACUGGGGGGCUUGAGUAUGUUAGAGGCAGGCGGAAUGCGUGGUGUAGCGGUGAAAUGCUUAGAUAUCACGCAGAACCCCGAUUGCGAAGGCAGCCUGCCAGGCCAUGACUGACGCUGAUGCUCGAAAGUGUGGGUAUCAAACAGGAUUAGAUACCCGUGUAGUC